Molecule: long non-coding RNA, 1173 nt
Filed under: Olea europaea subsp. europaea
Lineage: Eukaryota; Viridiplantae; Streptophyta; Magnoliopsida; Lamiales; Oleaceae
Source: RNAcentral
UUGACGACUUAACUGUAGAAUUAUGUUGCAUACAUUAUACUUUUCGAAAAAUCAAAGUAUUCAUAGCCAGAUAAUAAAUAAUAUUAUCCCUUGAACUUACAAGACAUAUAAUGUAUGGUAAAAUGACAAACAACAAACACCUAAAAAACACCAAACAUAAUCAGCAGAUCCCUCAUCCCCUCUAUGCUGCUGUAUCAGCAACUUCAGGAGUCGUCUAUUCUUCCUCGUCAGCUGUAUAUUGCACUUUGGUAUUCCCGUUAUUUUUUCUAGCAAGUGAUUCCUUGGCAUAAUCAUACGUGUCAUAGACUGGCUUCAAUACGCUUCCAAGUAUUCCAGUACUUUGGUUCAAUUUCUUUGUUUACAAGGAUAUGGAGGCUUGUCGUCAAACUUAAUUUCUUCUUCAUGUUGCCUUCUCUUUGUUCACUUUAUGGAGUUGUUCUAUAGCCACCCAGGCAGUAGCCUCGGUUCUCUCUUCUUUCAUUGCUUGCCUUGAAUCCACUCUUUCCUCCUUAACACGCAGGAAGGUAAAUUCUCUUAAAUUGGAAGCAAAAUUCCUACAGAAAUAUAGGUUAUUUCCAGUUCAUUGCUACGUCUGAAAGGUCCAAAUCAACUAGAUCGACCACAUGUCAUGUUAAUUUGUCUACCCCUUCCACUUUUUACUUGUUCUACAACCAUAGCAUAGCCUCUUUACACGUCCCAGACGAGACUGCUCGACUAGGAGUCAAAUUUUUGUGUAACAAAAUUCAUGGACCUCAAAAUCUGAAGCCGCCAAUUACAAACAGGGCCCUCUUCAAACUUGCCAAUAUCAGUAUAAAUACUUAAGAACAAUCUGUUGAACCAUAUCAAAGGCCAUUAGAGAUAAUCUUCAAUUAAAAUGCUCAAUUGUUCCGGACCAUGUAUCAGAACUCCUUGAGGCUAAAAAUUGUACAUCAAUGGCCAAAACCAACUCCAUCAGUUACUUGGCUACAAAGCAAAUAUUCCAUGAAGUUCAGUGAUUAAAUCGUGACAUAGUACAAAGUUCAGUGGCCAUUGAAAAAUUUAACUCAAAGAAUUCCUGCUUCCUUCCCGAAUCCCUUUUUUCCCCCUAAAAUCAAAACACACACUCCAACUACGACCUUCUGCAAACUGCAAAAGAUCCCUCUAAAAUAAUAAAUUAUGGUCCCUAAAGUUUCA